Long non-coding RNA from Sinocyclocheilus anshuiensis, 241 nucleotides. RefSeq lists it as uncharacterized. NCBI's taxonomy places the organism in Eukaryota, Metazoa, Chordata, Actinopteri, Cypriniformes, Cyprinidae. The transcript is spliced from 3 exons. The record is from RefSeq and is a predicted model, not a curated record.
CGCCGCGUUUUCACUGUUGUAGGCUAACGUUACCAGAAAGAAUCCGUUUCUACGAUGUUUAUUUGUGUAAAUGAUGUGUGUGCGUUGAGCUCUGCACGAGCUGGGAGCAGAGUUGCCAUGGAAACGUCUCUCGCUGCUGUUUUCACUGCUUUCAGGAGGACAGAAAGAAACUCUACAGAACAGAUGGGAAGCGCCAAGAUUUCAACAUUUCUGAAGGAGCUGCUGACGGAGACAUAGAAAA